GACGGAGGGGGCUAGCGUUGUUCGGAAUUACUGGGCGUAAAGGGUGCGUAGGCGGCCGAUUAAGUUAGACGUGAAAGCCCAGAGCUUAACUUUGGAAUUGCGCCUAAUACUGAUCGGCUAGAGUUCGGUAGAGGAAAGUAGAAUUCCUAGUGUAGAGGUGAAAUUCGUAGAUAUUAGGAAGAAUACCAGAGGCGAAGGCGGCUUUCUGGACCGAUACUGACGCUGAGGCACGAAAGCGUGGGGAGCAAACAGG
This 253-nucleotide ribosomal RNA is filed under the name uncultured bacterium. RNAcentral describes it as "partial 16S ribosomal RNA". It matches the Rfam family "Bacterial small subunit ribosomal RNA", at positions 524 to 776 of the family's 1533-position model. The record is from RNAcentral.